UUUCUACUGGCUCAGACGGUAAAGAAUCUGCCUGCCAUGCAGGAGACCCAGGUUCAAUCCCUGGGUGGGGAA
This 72-nucleotide transfer RNA is filed under the name Bos taurus (domestic cattle). It matches the Rfam family "tRNA". From Rfam's summary of the family: Transfer RNA (tRNA) molecules are approximately 80 nucleotides in length. Their secondary structure includes four short double-helical elements and three loops (D, anti-codon, and T loops). Further hydrogen bonds mediate the characteristic L-shaped molecular structure. tRNAs have two regions of fundamental functional importance: the anti-codon, which is responsible for specific mRNA codon recognition, and the 3' end, to which the tRNAs corresponding amino acid is attached (by aminoacyl-tRNA synthetases). tRNAs cope with the degeneracy of the genetic code in two manners: having more than one tRNA (with a specific anti-codon) for a particular amino acid; and 'wobble' base-pairing, i.e. permitting non-standard base-pairing at the 3rd anti-codon position. The record is from Rfam by way of RNAcentral. Lineage: Eukaryota; Metazoa; Chordata; Mammalia; Artiodactyla; Bovidae. RNAcentral also lists the same sequence under 4 other names.